Long non-coding RNA from Pongo pygmaeus (Bornean orangutan), 548 nucleotides. RefSeq lists it as uncharacterized. Lineage: Eukaryota; Metazoa; Chordata; Mammalia; Primates; Hominidae. The transcript has 3 exons. The record is from RefSeq and is a predicted model, not a curated record.
UGCCAGCUCACUACAACCUCUGCUUCCCAGAUUCAAGUGAUUCCCCUGCCUCAGCCUCCUGAGUAGAUGGGACUACUGAUGGUUUCCUAGAAACAUGAUUGUUUACUGGCGUUGAUCUCACAGUCUGGUGAGGACUUCUUUACUGAUAAUGUCAAGUUCAGGUUAUCCUCCCAACCAAGGAGCAUUCAGCACAGAACAAAGUCGUUAUCCUCCUCACUCUGUAAAGUAUACGUUUCCCAGCACCCACCACCAGCAGGAUCCAGCAUUCGGAGGCAAACAUGAAGCUCCCUCCUCUCCAAUAUCAGGGCAACUAUGUGGAGAUGAUCAAAAUGCUUCACCUUCAAAACUUUCAAAGGAAGAGUUAAUACAGAGUAUGGAUCGUGUAGAUUGAGAAAUUGCAAAAGUAAAACAGCAGAUCCUUAAACUGAAAAAGAAACAAGUAAAAGUCUUUGUCUAAUAUAUUCUAAGAAUGUAUGUUUUUCUCCCUACAGAAGGUAUUUUUGAGUUUUCCAUAUUUUGAAACUUUACAUAAAAGGAAUCAUGCCUUA